RNAcentral lists this ribosomal RNA (522 nucleotides) under uncultured bacterium. Its description in RNAcentral is "bacterial SSU rRNA". It matches the Rfam family "Bacterial small subunit ribosomal RNA", at positions 355 to 891 of the family's 1533-position model. The record is from RNAcentral.
CGAGGAAUCUUGGGCAAUGGGCGAAAGCCUGACCCAGCGACGCCGCGUGAGGGAUGAAGGCCUUCGGGUCGUAAACCUCUUUUAUGGGAGAAGAAGUUCUGACGGUAUCCCAUGAAUAAGCCACGGCUAACUACGUGCCAGCAGCCGCGGUAAUACGUAGGUGGCAAGCGUUGUCCGGAUUUACUGGGCGUAAAGGGCUUGUAGGCGGUUCGUUAAGUCCGGUGUGAAAUCUCCCGGCUCAACCGGGAUAGGUCACUGGAUACUGGCGAACUAGAGGGGGGUAGAGGAGAGCAGAAUUCCUGGUGUAGCGGUGAAAUGCGUAGAUAUCAGGAGGAAUACCAGUGGCGAAGGCGGCUCUCUGGGCCUACCCUGACGCUGAGGAGCGAAAGCGUGGGGAGCAAACCGGAUUAGAUACCCGGGUAGUCCACGCCCUAAACGGUGGAUGCUAGGUGUGGGGGGUGUCGACCCCCUCCGUGCCGCAGCUAACGCUUUAAGCAUCCCGCCUGGGGAGUACGGCCGCAA